UGGGGUGUAGCCAAGCGGUAAGGCACAUGGUUUUGAUCCAUGCAUGCGUUGGUUCGAAUCCAGCCACCCCAGCCA
This 75-nucleotide transfer RNA is filed under the name SAR86 cluster bacterium. Its description in RNAcentral is "tRNA-Gln". It matches the Rfam family "tRNA". Rfam says of the family: Transfer RNA (tRNA) molecules are approximately 80 nucleotides in length. Their secondary structure includes four short double-helical elements and three loops (D, anti-codon, and T loops). Further hydrogen bonds mediate the characteristic L-shaped molecular structure. tRNAs have two regions of fundamental functional importance: the anti-codon, which is responsible for specific mRNA codon recognition, and the 3' end, to which the tRNAs corresponding amino acid is attached (by aminoacyl-tRNA synthetases). tRNAs cope with the degeneracy of the genetic code in two manners: having more than one tRNA (with a specific anti-codon) for a particular amino acid; and 'wobble' base-pairing, i.e. permitting non-standard base-pairing at the 3rd anti-codon position. Lineage: Bacteria; Pseudomonadati; Pseudomonadota; Gammaproteobacteria. The record is from RNAcentral.